This 253-nucleotide ribosomal RNA is filed under the name uncultured bacterium. RNAcentral's name for it is "partial 16S ribosomal RNA". It matches the Rfam family "Bacterial small subunit ribosomal RNA", at positions 524 to 776 of the family's 1533-position model. The record is from RNAcentral.
GACGGAGGGGGCUAGCGUUGUUCGGAAUUACUGGGCGUAAAGAGUGCGUAGGCGGUUUAGUAAGUUGGAAGUGAAAGCCCGAGGCUUAACCUCGGAACUGCUUUCAAAACUACUAAUCUAGAGUGUAGUAGGGGAUGAUGGAAUUCCUAGUGUAGAGGUGAAAUUCUUAGAUAUUAGGAGGAACACCGGUGGCGAAGGCGGUCAUCUGGGCUACAACUGACGCUGAUGCACGAAAGCGUGGGUAGCAAACAGG